Molecule: unclassified non-coding RNA, 270 nt
Filed under: Hevea brasiliensis (rubber tree)
Lineage: Eukaryota; Viridiplantae; Streptophyta; Magnoliopsida; Malpighiales; Euphorbiaceae
Source: RNAcentral
AAAAAAAAAAAAAAAAAAGAAUCAUUGAUUUUCUCUGCUGUCAAUUCUCUAAUUAUGUUUGGAUGGUUGGUAAUGAUGGAGGAGCUGAAACAAAAACUGAUGAAGUUGACUAUUAGGUUACUUUUAGAGAAUAUAUAGCCUGGUCAACUCUUAAUCACCUUUUGAACAGUAAAAUGAAUUAGGACAUUUAAAUAGCACAAGAAAAUUUCACAUUCAAAAGAAGUUGAUCUAGCUAUUGUUAUCUUUAGCUUGGAGAUUACUAUAUUUUUU